ACGCUGGCGGCAUGCCUAACACAUGCAAGUCGAACGGACGAUGCCCUUCGGGGCAAAGUUAGUGGCGGACUGGUGAGUAACGCGUGAGCAACCUGCCUUUGAGAGGGGGACAACAGCUGGAAACGGCUGCUAAUACCGCAUGAUGCAGCGAGAUCGCAUGAUCUUGCUGCCAAAGAUUUAUCGCUCAAAGAUGGGCUCGCGUCCGAUUAGAUAGUUGGUGAGGUAACGGCUCACCAAGUCAACGAUCGGUAGCCGGACUGAGAGGUCGACCGGCCACAUUGGGACUGAGAUACGGCCCAGACUCCUACGGGAGGCAGCAGUGGGGAAUAUUGCGCAAUGGAGGCAACUCUGACGCAGCAAUGCCGCGUGAAGGAUGAAGGUUUUCGGAUUGUAAACUUCUUUUGUGAGGGACGAUAAUGACGGUACCUCACGAAUAAGCCACGGCUAACUACGUG
This 455-nucleotide ribosomal RNA is filed under the name uncultured bacterium. RNAcentral describes it as "bacterial SSU rRNA". It matches the Rfam family "Bacterial small subunit ribosomal RNA", at positions 33 to 507 of the family's 1533-position model. The record is from RNAcentral.